UUGAACGCUGGCGGCAUGCCUUACACAUGCAAGUCGAACGGCAGCACGGGAGCAAUCCUGGUGGCGAGUGGCGAACGGGUGAGUAAUGUAUCGGAACGUACCUUUCAGUGGGGGAUAACGUAGCGAAAGUUACGCUAAUACCGCAUAUUCUGUGAGCAGGAAAGCAGGGGAUCGCAAGACCUUGCGCUGAUUGAGCGGCCGAUAUCAGAUUAGCUAGUUGGUGAGGUAAAGGCUCACCAAGGCGACGAUCUGUAGCGGGUCUGAGAGGAUGAUCCGCCACACUGGAACUGAGACACGGUCCAGACUCCUACGGGAGGCAGCAGUGGGGAAUUUUGGACAAUGGGGGCAACCCUGAUCCAGCCAUGCCGCGUGAGUGAAGAAGGCCUUAGGGUUGUAAAGUUCUUUUGUCAGGGAAGAAAGUUUCUGUGCUAAUACCAUAGAACGAUGACGGUACCUGAAGAAUAAGCACCGGCUAACUACGU
This 482-nucleotide ribosomal RNA is filed under the name uncultured bacterium. RNAcentral describes it as "bacterial SSU rRNA". It matches the Rfam family "Bacterial small subunit ribosomal RNA", at positions 30 to 506 of the family's 1533-position model. The record is from RNAcentral.